GAAAAUAUCUAUGGCAACUACGGAAGCUUGGCCUGCCACCUUACGUACGUAAUGACGUAACGGUAUUCACGUUCGGCUUUACGUAAGGCAUGAUACGCCGUCGUUGUGGCAACCUCGUCAGCUUGGCCGCUCGCGCUUAAACAAUCCUUCAGGCUGCGAGCAGAAUGUCGACUAAACUGGAAUGAUUUUCGACAACCUUUAACACUCCUUUUAUUUAUAUGUUUUAUGAAAAUAUUUAAACAGACAGAAGGUUUAUUCAGUGAGGCGGCGAACCAUGGCGCCGAUGGUGGAUGACCCCCGGAAGCUGUUCCUCCUCACCACAGUGGGAAAUUAUUUCAGUAUGAAGACCUCACCUACACUUGCCACCUGCACACAGAUCAACAACUUCCUGGAUGACGCGAACGAGUUCCUGUUAGCUGCAAGUACGGAUGGAGACGAGCUCACCUUCUCCAACAAGAUGGACAGCGGGCAGUGUGAGAAGCGAGUGCUGGUGUUCUUUAAGCUGCGUCCGUGUGUGAUUACGGAGGAGAACGUCAGCAGCAUGGUGUUAGUUUCCUCCAUGUUGGAGUCUCCCAUCAGCACCCUGUAUCAGUCCAUUAGGACAGUGUUUAAUCCUGCACUACAUCAGGAUGAGAAAUGGAGUCAUGCCUUUGAUCCUCGGCUGCAGUCUUUGCUCAGCGAGCUGGAGGCCGGUUUGGGCUCCGUGCUUCGACACACACAUCCAAAGAAUUCUGGGAAAAAGACACUUUCAGAGGAAGAUGUUCUUGGGCUGGUGACUCCAUGUGAUGAGUUUCAGUAUUGGGCUGAAGUGAGUCGCACAGCAGAGAGGAGCAGUGCAAGAGAGCGAGCUAUAAACUUUUCUCAGCUGUUCAAACCCAUAGAAAAGGACUACAGUACUCUGGACAGUGCGAGUCUGACAGAGGCAUUAGAGCUGAUAGAACACACUCGAGACGUGCUGGAUGACGUGUGGAAGCAGAAUGAACACGCACCCUACUCCGAAACACGCAUGCGUAGACUCAUGGACGUGACAGGCUUCUCUCUGGCUCGGCUUGUGCAGAAGAAGCUGUGUGCGCUGCGUCUGUGGGAGGAGCCAUACUCCAGCGUGAGAGAGAGUCUCAAAAUGGGCGUGGCCGUGUGCGAGCAAUGGGCGGAGGUAUGCGAACACCUGAGCAGCCAGGUGUGGAAACGCUACUCGCUCCACCCAUGGAGCGGAGAGACGCACCGCCCACUCGGCCUGCACGACCUCACAUGCCGGCUGCAGGAGGUGCUGCAGGUGCGUACGGUGCAAGAGAAGCUCCAGCGGAUGGUGUUUGGAGCACAGCAGCAACAGAUUUCUGCCUCCAAAGUGUUCGAGCCUUUUACUGGUCUCAACCCUGUACUGUACAACCCAUACACUGAGCCUUUAUGGAGAGCCGCCGUGUCUCAGUUCGACAGAUUGAUCGCCCCGGCUGAACAGGAAGUAGCAGGACGACUGAAGACUUUCAUCAGAGAUGUGCAAGACAGUCCACAGCAGUUGCUGCUGGUGUUCCAGAAGCACAGAGCGCUCAUCAAACGUCCAACAGUGAGCAAGGAGCUCCAGCCAGAGAGAGAGACCCUGCUUACACGACUACUCGACUACUGCAGAGGGCUUCGUGCUGAUUUCGAUGGCCGAUGCCACGGUGUUCCAGGGGAGAAAACCGGCCCUUUGACAGGCAGGAACCUUCCUGAGGUGGUGAACAACAUAGUUUGGGUCAGACAGCUGCUCAUGAAGGUGGAAGACUCUAUAAAGAUGGCAGAGGUGCUGUUAUCAGACCUGCCAGGAUUCCGUGCAUUUGUGCAGUUCUCCGAUGAGGUUCUUGAGCAGCUGAGGUCGUACGAACAGGAGCAGUUUGAUGACUGGACAAGAGACUUAAUCUCUGGACUAUCAGACCCUAAAUCAGGAAUCAGUUUGCAGGCCAGUAACCGGGUAAUGGAGCUGGAUCAUGUGGACGGAAAGCUGAAGGUCCAGUACUCGGAGCGCUUGGUGAGUUUAGUGAAGGAGGUGAGACAGCUGUCUGCUCUCGGCUUCACCGUUCCAGCCAAGAUCCAACAGGCUGCCACCAUCGCUGAGCGAUUCCACAGACAGGCUCUAGUAUUGAAACAGGUGGCUCAUUUCUACAACACCAUAGACCAACAGAUGAUUCCGUCCCAGAAACCAAUGAUGUUGAAUUACGCUCUUGCCUUUGAGCAGGUUAUUAAGCAGAGUCCUCGUGCAGCGUCUCGGGAUGGAGGAGGAAAACUGCAGAUAACGUGGGAGAACCCAAAAGAGCUGGAGAUUUACAUUAACAAGCUUCAGACUGCUGCAGAGAGGCUUUCCACUCAGAACAGGAAGCUCCGCAAGUGGCACACUGACUUCACUGACAUGGUGGUUAUGUUGAUGGGUGUAGAUCUCCUGCGGCAGCAGCAGCGGUGGAAGGAAGGACUGCAGGAGCUCAGGGCUGGAUUCGCUACCAUCGAGUCCCAGGGUGUGCGAGUGAGCGAUAUGCAUGCAUGGAGACAGCACUGGAAUCAUCAGCUGUAUAAAGCUCUGGAGUUUCAGUACCAGUGCGGACUGGAGGCGCUCAACAAGAACCUUCCAGAAAUACACAUAGAUCUCGUCUUUAAGCAGGGCCGUGUGCAGUUCCGGCCUGUGUGUGAGGAGCUGCGUGUGAGGUACUACAGAGAGUUGAAGCGCUUCAUCAGCAUCCCGAAUCAGUUCAGAGGAGUGUAUGAGAGCGACAAGGGCGCGGAGUCUAUAUUCACCGCCAUGAUUGACAACAACUCCCGAGCCUUCAUCACCAUCUACAGCAACGCCGAGCAGCUGUUUAGCAGACUCCAGCAAGUACAGGACAAGUACAGGGAGUGGGUGGUCUUGGGACAGGUGGAUAUGGAGGUUCUGGUGGAGAAACACCUCCUCACGGUGCAGGACUGGGAAAGAAACUUCAGAGCCCUCAAAGCGAAAGGGAAGGAGGUUGAACGUCUUCCCAGCGUGGAGAAGGUGGACUGCUUCACAGUGAACUGUGAGCCAGUGAAGUCUGCGAUUGACGAUUUGAUCCAGAAGCUAUUCGACACGAUGCUGACGGCUCUGAGGAAGUCCAUCCAGGGUCACGUACAGGCCGUAGACUCGUUUGUUAGCAGUGGGAUGACUACGUUAUCUACACGACCAGAGAGCAUAGAGGAGAUCGGAGAAGCCAACUCCAAACACAGCCAACUCCAGGCCCAGAAACCUGAGGUUCUGCCUCAGUUCCAGCAGAUGGAGGAGAAGAACAGGCUUCUGCGCUCGGUUGCAGGAGGAGGCGUUGACUCAAUCAGCUCGCUCAGAGCAAAGUGGGACAAAUUCGAGCUGAUAAUGGAGAGUCACCAGCUGAUGAUCAGAGAACAGGUGGAGGUGAUGAAGAGCAGCGUGUCGGGCCGGGUCAGUGUGUACUUACAGGAGCUGCAGAAGUUCCGCUCUCGUUGGGAUCAGCUCCGACCCGCCGAUGAUGUCAUUGAGUCAUGUGACCCUGUUGCCUUGCAGCGAUGCGUGGAGCGAUUGAGAGAGAAGAGGGAGGAGUUUAAUGAGCUCGAGAACACGCGCACAAAGCUGCUGGAGGACUGUGAGCACUUUGGAUUGGACGUUCCGGACAUGUCUCUUGCAUCGGACACACUACACGACCUGCAGCGGUGUUCAGACAUGUGGAGCCUGUACGAGGAGUUUCAAAACACAUUGAACACCAGUGCGCAGCAGGACUGGAUCAGCUUCAGGAGCAGGACACACGAGUUCGAGGAGUUCGUGUUGACGUGGCACGAGCGCCUGAGGAAGCAGGAGGAACUCAACACCAUGACGGUGAUGCUGCAGAAAGAAGUGGACAAGUACAAGGCUCUGCUUCCUGUGCUGAAGUAUGUGAGAGGUGAUCACCUGUCUCAGGAUCACUGGCUGGAUCUGUUCAGACUGCUCGGCCUCCCCAAAGGAACCACGCUGGAGAGACUCCUGUUCAGAGACCUGCUGACCUUCUCACAAACCAUCAUAGAUAAAGCCCUGGAGCUGAAGGACCUGAACAGCCGUGCUCAUGCUGAGGUGAGUAUCCGUGAGGCUCUGCGUGAGGUGGAGCUGUGGGCUGCUGGAGCGAGUUUCUCUCUCACCGAGUACACCAACAGCACCGGUGCUCACAUCAGCCUCAUCCGCGACUGGAGAGACGUGAUGAAUCAGGUUGGAGAUAACCGGUGUCUGCUGCAGUCUCUGAAGGACUCGCCGUAUUACCAGCGCUUCCACGAUAAGGUCUCUCUGUGGGAGACGCGUCUGGCAGACCUCGACGACUUCCUGCAGAGCCUCAACAGCAUCCAGAGGAAGUGGCUCUACCUCGAGCCCAUAUUCGGGCGUGGCGCGUUGCCACGAGAGCAGGCCCGCUUUCAGAGAGUGGACCAGGACUUCAGGGCCAUAAUGCGGGACGUGCAAAGAGACAGCAGAGCGGCGUCUCUAACCACACGAGCGGGAAUGAGGAACUCUCUGAACACGAUGCAGGAUCAGCUACAGCGCUGUCAGAAGUCCCUGAAUGAUUUCCUCGAGGAGAAACGGUCUGCGUUUCCUCGUUUCUAUUUCAUCGGUGAUGACGACCUGCUGGAGAUACUGGGCCAAGCGACUAAUCCCACCGUCAUCCAGACACACCUGAAGAAGCUGUUUGCAGGAAUCCACAGUGUGGACUUUGACUCGAGCUGCAGCAGAAUCACGGCCAUGAAGUCACUAGAAGGAGAGACGGUCCCUCUGAGGAACACAAUCACCAUCUCUAAUGAUGUGGAGGUGUGGCUCAGUGAACUGUCCUCAGAAAUGAAGGAGACGUUGAAGUUCCUGCUGUGCGAGUGCAUGAAAGCAGUGAAGGGAGGUGGAGUCGACCCCAACCGCUUCCCCUCGCAGAUCCUGUGCCUGGCUGAACAGAUCCAGUUUACAGAGGAUGUAGAAAGCGCCAUCUGUGAGCAGAACCUACACCAACUGGAACUGGAGCUGACGGCUAAACUGGAGCACUACACCGACACAAACUCUCGCGUCGAGUCUGCAGAGUCCAGUGUGUUGCACUCGAAGCUGAAAGCUCUGAUCCUGGAUGUGAUCCACAACCUGUCGGUGGUGCGGGAGCUGCUGGAGGUUCAGGUUCGCAGCACGGACGACUGGACGUGGACGAAACGGCUGCGUUUCUACCUGGACACAGACCGGCAGUGCUGCACCGUACGCAUGGUGGACGCGGUGUUCGAUUACACCUACGAGUACCAGGGUAAUGCCCCUAAGCUAGUGCACACUCCUCUGACGGAUAAGUGCUACCUCACGCUGACUCAGGCCAUGAGGAUGGGUUUGGGAGGAAACCCAUACGGACCUGCAGGAACCGGCAAAACAGAGUCUGUUAAAGCCCUGGGAGGACUUAUGGGCAGACAGGUGCUGGUGUUCAACUGUGAUGAGGGCAUCGACGUGAAGUCUAUGGGUCGUAUCUUCGUGGGGUUGAUAAAGUGUGGCGCUUGGGGCUGCUUCGACGAGUUUAAUCGUCUGGAGGAAGCCGUGCUGUCGGCUGUGUCCAUGCAGGUCCAGGCCAUUCAGGACUCGCUGAGACAGCACAGAGACACCUGUCACCUCCUGGGCAAAGAGGUGGAGCUGGACCGAAACUCCGGUGUGUUCAUCACUCUGAACCCCGCCGGUAAAGGUUACGGAGGGAGACAGAAGCUUCCGGACAACCUGAAGCAACUUUUCCGCCCUGUUGCCAUGACGACCCCGGAUAACGAGCUCAUUGCUGAGGUCAUCCUCUACUCUGAGGGCUUCAAACAGGGGAAAGAGCUCGCACGCAAACUCACAGCUGUGUUCAACCUGGCCAGGGAGUUGUUGACCCCUCAGCAGCACUAUGAUUGGGGGCUGCGUGCUCUGAAGACGGUGCUGAAAGGCUGCGGGAAUUUAUUACAGCUACAGAGGAAACAAAACACACAAGUCAGUGAGAGUGUGUUAGUGCUGCAGGCUCUCAGGUUGAACACGCUCUCGAAGCUGACGUUCUCGGACAGCGCUCGUUUCGACGCCCUGCUCAGGAGCGUCUUUCCUGGAGUGGACUUCAACGAGGUGCGCUACGAAGAGCUGAGGGCCGCCCUGCUGGGCGCUUAUGAAGAAGCACAUCUCGAGAUCAUACCUAGCCAGGUGAGGAAGGCUCUGGAGCUGUAUGAACAGAUGAGGCAGCGGAUGGGCGUGGUCAUGGUGGGUCCGAGCGGCUGUGGGAAGUCGACGGUGUGGCGUUUGCUGCGUGCCGCGCUGAAGCGUCUCGGGCUCACGGUGCAGCACCACACCGUCAACCCUAAAGCGCUGAGCCGACAGCGGCUACUGGGACACAUGGACAUGGACACACGCGAGUGGAGCGACGGUGUCAUCACCACUGCUUCCAGACAUGUCAUCCGGGAACCUCAAGAGGUGAGUUCAUGGAUCGUGUGCGACGGCGAUAUCGACCCAGAGUGGGUGGAGUCCCUGAACUCCGUCCUGGACGACAACCGUUUGCUGACGAUGCCGAGCGGAGAACGCAUUCAGUUCGGCCCGAAUGUCAACUUCCUGUUCGAGACCCAUGACCUGAGCUGUGCUUCCCCCGCCACCAUCUCCCGCAUGGGCAUCAUCUUCCUCAGCGAUGAGGACACUGACGUGAGCGCGCUGCUAAAAGCGUGGUUAAGGAGAGAGCAGGUGGAGAACAGGGACAAUCUGGAGAACUGGAUUAAUGAUUACUUCCAGCGAGCACUCGACUGGGUGCUCACACAGGGGGAGUGUGUGGUAGAGACCAGUCUGGUAGGGGCUGUCCUGAAUGGUUUGUCCCAUCUCGGGGGGGUGAGCGAGCGGGGGGAGUUUAUAGUCGGGUUGAUCCGUGGACUCGGGGGAAACCUGCAGCUCAAAUCACGACAGGAGUUCGCUAAGCAGGUGCUAACCUGGGCAGGUGAGAGCCCUCCUGACCCGCGGAACCCUCUGGAUCUGUGCUAUGAUGGUGACUCUGGCCGGGUGCGUGCGUACGAGGUGCAGCGUGGAGACGGAGUGUGCGUGGAGGACUUCAUAUAUACGCACACACUCCCCGUCAUACACACUCCACACACACAGGACGCGCUACACAACUUCACACGCUGGCUGCAGGCCGGAAACACACAGCCGUUCCUGCUGGUUGGGCCAGAGGGCUGUGGCAAGGGGAUGUUGUUGCGUUACGCGUUUUCCAGGCUGCGCUCCACUCAGGUAGCGGCAGUUCACUGCAGCGCUCAGACGUCAUCGCAGCACAUCCUGCAGAAACUCGCUCAGACAUGCGUGUGCAUCACCUCCAACACACACCGAGUGUACCGGCCACGCGACUGCGAGCGUCUCAUCCUCUACCUCAAAGACAUCAACCUCCCCAAACCGGACAAGUGGGGGACCAGCAACCUGAUCGCCUUCCUGCAACAGGUGUUGACGUAUCAGGGCUUUUACGAUGAAGGUCUAGAGUGGGUCGGUUUGGAGAACAUCCAGAUUGUUUGUUCGAUGUCAGCAGGAGGCGCCGUGGGACGCCACACGCUCACGUCACGCUUUACCUCUAUAGUCCGCAUCUGCACCAUUGAUUAUCCCGAUAGAACGCAGCUGCAGACAAUCUACAGCGCAUACCUCUCACCUGUGCUGCAAAGCACUCUGGGUAAUCAUCCCACUUGGAGUUCUGCUGGGAAGAUUCAUCAGCUCGCUGGCUCAUUGGUUCAAAUCUAUGAGCAGGUGAAGGCUAAGUUCACCAUAGAUGACCACAGUCACUACCUGUUCACUCCGUGUGUGUUGACUCAGUGGGUGCUGAACCUGCUCAGAUACGACCUGACUGCAGGUAAAUGCCUUACUCCUGCAGACUCUGUGUUGGAGGUGGUAGUGUACGAGGCUCACCGGCUGUUCAGAGACAAACUGGUCUCAGAUAAAGAUUUGCAUGCAUUUGACAGCAUCCUCAGCUCUGUCAUUCGAGGAGACUGGGGCUCUGAUGUGCUGGACAGUGUGUCUGACACAUUCUUUGUGACGUGGGGUGCAAGUCAUGACGGGCAUGGUCACAGCAAGCCCCUCCCACUCUAUGGGAAACCACUUGGCCGUCUCAAUUCCAAUGAUCUCACAGAAGUCAUCCGCAAGGGGGUUCUUCAGUAUGAACGGGAGAACCGGGAGUUGGACCUGCUGAUCUUCCCGGAGGUGUUAGACAUUGUGUGUCGUGUGGACCGGGUCCUGUCUGCUCCAGCUGGGUGUGUGUUGCUGGCGGGACGGAGCGGCGUGGGUCGACGCACAGCUGUGUGUUUGGUGGCACACAUGCACCGCACCACGCUCUACACACCAAGGAUCAGCCGCUCAUACACACUCAAACACUUUAGGAGCGACCUUAAAACCGUGAUGCAGAUGGCGGGUGUAGAAGGGCAGCAGACGGUACUGUUGCUGGAGGAUCAUCAGUUUGUACAUCCCUCCUUCCUGGAGAUGGUCAACAGUCUGCUCUCUUCAGGUGAAGUUCCCGGACUGUACUCUACAGAAGAGCUGGAGCCGUUACUGUCAUCUCUGAAGGAUCAGGCAGCGCAAGAUGGAUUCACUGGACCCCUCUUUAACUACUACACACACCGUGUGCAGCAGAACCUCCAUGUGGUGCUGAUCAUGGACUGUACCAAUGACAACUUUACCAUCAACUGUGAGAGCAACCCGGCGCUGUACAGGAAGUGCAGUGUGCAGUGGCUGGAGGGAUGGAGAGACAGCAGCAUGAAGAAGAUUCCUGAGAUGUUCCUGUCUGAAAUGGAAGAGGAGAACAGCUCCGGAAAAAGACCGAAGAAGCACAAAACAGACUUCUUCCACUCGUUUCUGACUAUCCACGAGUCGUGUCGCGAUUACGGAGCCACGCCUAACCGAUACCUGAGCUUUCUCAAGGUGUACCAAUGCAUUUACAGCACCAAGAAGAAAGAGCUCACCCAGAGACAGCAGCACCUGCAGGCGGGCGUGGCUAAGCUAAACGAAGCGAAGUCAUUGGUUGAUGAGCUGAAGAGGCGCGCUGCUGAGCAGAGCAUGUUGCUGAAAACUAAGCAGGCGGAGGCAGAUGCAGCGCUGCAGGAGAUCACUACAUCCAUGCAGAAUGCAAGCGAUCAGAAAACAGAGUUGGAAAAGCUGAAGGGACGGAUGGCACAGGAAGUGGCCAAAAUAGAGGAGCGAAAAGAGAAGAUCGAUGACGAACUGAAAGAAGUCCAGCCCCUGGUCGAAGAGACAAAGCAGGCCGUCGGAAACAUCAAACCGGAGUCUCUGUCCGAGAUCCGCUCGCUGCGAAUGCCGCCGGAUGUCAUCAGAGACAUUCUGGAGGGAGUGCUGAGGCUCAUGGGAAUAUUCGACACCUCCUGGGUCAGCAUGAAGAGUUUCUUGGCUAAGCGCGGAGUGAGGGAGGACAUCGUGACGUUCGAUGCCCGAAACAUCACUCACGAGAUCCGGGAGAGCGUGGAAGAGUUAUUGUACAGGAACAGGGCAUCAUUCGAUUCGAAGAACGCAAAGCGUGCGAGUGCAGCGGCCGCUCCGUUAGCAGCAUGGGUGAAAGCAAAUGUCCAGUACUCUCACGUCCUGGAGAAGAUACAGCCACUGGAGACUGAGCAAGCAGGAUUGAUGGAAAACCUGCGCAAGACAGAGAGUCGGAGGAAUAAACUGGAGGCUCAGCUCAGCUCCGUCGGAGAACGAGUGCAAGAGCUGAAGGACAAGUUUCAGUGUCGUACCACCGAAGCUGCUAAACUAGAAGCCGACGUGAGCAGAGCUCAGGAAACCAUCAGUGCUGCGGAGAAACUCCUCCACCAGCUGGACGGAGAACACACUCGCUGGAGCACACAGGUGGAUGAGAUUAGCGAGGAGCUGAAAACUCUUCCCAAGCGCGUGCAGCUGGCAGCAGCGUUCAUCACAUACCUGUCUGCCACACCUGAGGAUCAGCGCAGAGCCAUGUUGCACAGCUGGAUGGAGCACGCAGGACUGCAGAAGUUUGAUUUACGUCACUUCCUGUGCUCUGAGAGCGAACAGCUGAUCUGGAAGAGUGAAGGACUGCCAUCUGAUGACCUGUCUAUGGAGAACGCCCUCGUUAUCCUGCAGAUCACUGCAUUAAAGAACCGGAGUGUGGCAUGUCCGUUUCUUAUAGACCCCUCCUCUCGAGCCACAGAAUGGUUACGCACCCACCUUAAAGUGCAUCGUUUAGAGGUCAUCAACCAACAGGACUCUAAUUUUAUGACCUCGCUGGAGUUGGCGGUGCGCUUCGGAAAAACGUUGAUAAUUCAGGAAGUGGACGACGUUGAGCCGGUGCUUUACCCUCUACUGCGCAGAGACCUAAUCGCGCAAGGUCCUCGUUACGUCGUCCAGAUCGGAGAGAAAGUCGUCGACUACAACGAGGAUUUCCGCCUGUUUCUGGCAACCCGCAACCCCAAUCCAUUUAUCCCCCCUGACGCUGCUUCUGUUAUAACUGAAGUGAAUUUUACCAUCACUAGAGCAGGACUGCGUGGGCAGCUGUUGGCGUUGACCAUCCAGCAUGAGAAGCCAGAACUGGAGAGUGAGAAGACCCGACUGUUGCAGCAGGAGGAGGAGAAGAAGAUUCAGCUCGCCCUGCUGGAGGACUCGCUGCUACAGACUCUGGCCACAGCUCAGGGGAACAUUUUGGAGAAUAAGGAGCUGAUCGAGUCUCUGAAUCAGACGAAGGCAAGCAGCGCUCUGAUCCACACCGCUCUCACAGAGUCACAUAGACUGCAGGCCUCGCUCGACCAGGAAAGGGAUGCCUAUUUGCCGUUGGCCGAAAGCGCCAGCAAGAUGUAUUUUGUAAUCACGGAUUUAUCCCGUGUUAACAGCAUGUACCGCUUUAGUCUGGCCUCCUUCAUCAGAAUCUUCCACAGAGCACUGCAGACUCAAAAGGAGAGCGACAGCACUGAGGCGAGGAUCACAGCACUGGAGGCGUCUCUGAAGAGCAUGGUGUACGAAUAUGUCUGCCGCUCGCUCUUUAAGGUGGAUCAGCUGAUGUUUGCAUUGCACUUUGCGAAGGGAAUGCAGCCAGAACUCUUCCAAGAGAACGAAUGGGAUGCGUUCAUUGGACUGAUAGUCGCAGACACGGUCAGGAAGGACUCCCAGAAGUCUUUGCGGGAACACAUUCCUUCCUGGAUUGAUCAAGAGAGACACACUGCUGUGGCUUUACUCAAGAGCACGUUCCCGGCACUGUAUCAGUCCCUGUGCCUGAGCGACGCAGAUCUCUGGCUCUCAUUUUCACAAAGCUCCGUCUGCGAACAGGAAAUCCCUUCUUCCAUCGUCAGGAAGAUCUCUCUGUUCCAGCAGGUGCUGGUGGUCCAGGCUCUCAGACCGGACAGACUGCAGAGCGCCAUGGCCAGCUUCGCCUCACACACACUGGGAAUGAAGGAACUGUCUCCUCCCCCGUUAAACCUGAGACGGCUCUAUGGAGAGACGGUAGAGACAGAACCGGUGCUGAUCAUCAUUUCUCCCGGAGCCGACCCGUCUCAGGAGCUGCAGGAACUCGCCAGCCACACUGUGGGACUCGAGCGUUACCAUGAGGUGGCCAUGGGGCAGGGCCAGGCGGACGUGGCUCUGCAGGUUCUCAGAGUGUGUGUGUGUAACGGAGAGUGGCUCUGCCUGAAGAAUCUGCACCUCGUCACUCAGUGGCUCCCCCUGUUGGAGAAGGAGCUGAACAAUAUGCAGCCUAAACCAGGGUUCCGACUCUGGCUGACUGCCGAAGUUCAUCCCAACUUCACACCCAUCUUACUGCAGUCCAGCCUCAAGAUCACCUAUGAGGCUCCCCCUGGUCUGAAGAAGAACCUGCUGAGGACGUACGAGUCGUGGAGUUCGGAACAGAUCAGUAAAGGAGGAAACACUGCACGUGCUCAGUCGCUCUUCUGCCUCGCCUGGUUUCAUGCUGUGUGUCAGGAGAGACGCAAAUACAUCCCUCAGGGUUGGACCAAAUUCUACGAGUUUUCCCAGUCUGAUUUGAGAGCGGGAUUUGACAUCAUAGAUCGGCUGUUUGAAGGAGGCAAGGCGUUUGAGUGGGACCGCGUGCACGGUUUGUUAGAAAGUGCGAUUUACGGAGGGCGUGUGGAUAACGUGUGUGACCUCAGAGUGCUGCGCUCGUACCUGCACCGCUUCUUCAGCAACCUGACCCUCACACACUCACGCACACGGGCCACACACACUUUUCCACCUCAGGUCAACCUGCCCAGCUCCUGCAGCAUAACGGAUUAUCAGCGUGUGGUGGAAAGUCUCCCAGAGGACGAUAAGCCGAGUUUUUUCGGACUUCCUGCCAACAUCGAGCGUUCUGCUCAACGCAUCACCAGCACACAGGUGAUCUCCCAGCUAAGGAUUUUGAGCAGGUCGGUGACUGCAGGGUCAAAGUUCGACCGAGAGCUGUGGGCGAGUGGCCUCUCACCUGUACUCAACUUGUGGAAGAGACUGAAUCAGGGUUCAUCUCUAAUCCAGCAGAAGCUGGCUCCGCCCACCGAGGGCGUCGGCUCCCCCGUGCUCUCAUUCGUCCUGUUGGAGCAGUUCAACGCUGUCCGAUUGGUCCAGAGCAUCCACCAAUCGCUGGCCUCGCUCAGUAGGGUGAUCCGUGGAACCUCCCUGCUGACGGCCGACACCCACAAACUCGCCACCGCCCUGCUCAACCAGGAGUGUCCGCUGAGUUGGCAGUGUAAGUGGGAGGGGCCUGAUGACCCCAUGCAGUAUCUCAGAGCUGUGGUGAGCAGAGCCCUCGCUGUGCAGAUCUGGGUAGAGAGGGUGGAGAGGAACACACUGCUGAGUGACACCUUGGACCUUUCGGACCUCUUCCAUCCACACACCUUUCUUAACGCCCUGAGACAGGAGACAGCCAGAUCUAUGAGCUGCUCUAUGGACAGUCUGAAGUUUGUGGCAUCAUGGAAGAGUCUGAUAGCUGGAGCUAAACUGCAAGUGAAGGUUGGUGGUCUUCAACUAGAAGGCUGUAGUUUUGAUGGGAAUCGACUGAGUGAGAAUCAUCACAACUCACCCAGUGUGUGUGCUGUUCCUACCUGCUACAUGGCUUGGAUUCUUCAGAAUGGCCCAGGUUGUUACUCUCCAGAGGAGUGUGUGCUGUUGCCGGUGUAUACGAGCGCAGAGCGAGUGUGUGUGGUCACACACAUUGAUGUUCCAUGUGGAGGAAACCAGGAGCAAUGGAUCCAAAGUGGAGCUGCACUGUUCCUCAAACAGCAGUAGCACACACACACACACACACACACACACACACACACACACACUCUGUCUCGGAGGUCUACAGACAAUUCCUUGGACUUCAUGGCUUGGUUUGUGCUCUGACAUGCAUUGUUAACUGUGGGACCUUAUAUAGACAGGAAGAGGCUGCAUAUGUAGGGCAGCGAGAUCACGUCCCACGGGGAAUCUGUCUUUUAAAGUCUGACGGAACCGUCCAGUCUCAUCACAACAUCGUGAACCAAGAUAGAAACUGAAUGAUUGUGAUGAAUUAAGAGAAAAGGGGGGGGAGGACAAGAGAAGAAAGAUUGAGGAAGAAGAGACAAAAAGAAAGAGAGGAGAGAAGAAGGGGAGCCCUGGACUGUGCACAUGCGUAUGAGUUGAAGCAAAGCUGCUGAUUGGCCAGCUGUAAAGUGACUAGAAAGUGAUGCAACAAUGACGAGAACCCAGAAACACGUAUGAGCACACACGUACGCACAGAGCGGAAACCUGUAGAGCUCGGCAAGUCGGAGAAAAGAAUAGAGAGCCAGACGGUCCCAGACAAACACAUGGACGCGUGUAGAGACACCGGAAGUCCUCUCGCCGACACUGGAGACUCCUUAGAGUAAACCUCACAUCAGCAAAUCUUUCAUCCACUUAUUAUUAGGCUGAGAUUAACGUGGAGCGCACACCGUUCGAGUUCCUGUGAACGCGUUGCUAGAGAAAUGAGAACAGCUGGUUGGAAAUUAACCAAUACUUUCUGAUCAAUCAGGUUUGAGCAUUCAAACAGUGCUGGUAUGAAAAGGAAAAAAAGAAGAAGAAAAAUAUAUAUUCUAAGGAAAUUGCGAGCGUGAUGCGAUAAGACCGUCUCGGAGCGGCUGAUUGGUCAGCUGCUGUAAACAACCAUUAUGACGUCAUUAUGACAGGUGGGAGUUGGAAUUCAAAUGGUGAGCGUCGGCUGGGAAGUGGGUUUUGAUCUGAUGAGAGCUAAAUUAUAACACCUCAGGUCUCUCUGUCUCCAGAACCAUCUCACCCCCCCCCCCCCACACACACACCCCCUAAAAUCAUCCCCCUCCCCCCUGAAGCAGAUAAGCUGCUAGACCUAAAGGCCCAAUCAGCACCGCUACAAAGACAGGUCCAAACCAAGCAAGAACUUUUCUGUCUAAACCUGCUGCAGUUUCAAACCUGUCAGUUCGGCUUGAGACGACCGGCGAUGGUCAUCGUACAGGACGGUAUCGGCGACCGACAAUACUCCAUUACACUCCCAUCAAAUCCACGAGCAACGCUAUUGUCCAUCAGCAGGCACGACAGGAUGGUAGGAUAACUAUUGCACACGAUCUCACAAGCCUACCAUCUCAAACGCCGUGACGAGAAAAUACAACACUGAAAACAUCCACAA
Molecule: RNA transcript, 14543 nt
Organism: Ictalurus furcatus (blue catfish)
Lineage: Eukaryota; Metazoa; Chordata; Actinopteri; Siluriformes; Ictaluridae
Gene: dync2h1
Gene name: cytoplasmic dynein 2 heavy chain 1
Exons: 97
Source: RefSeq, a predicted model, not a curated record